This 460-nucleotide ribosomal RNA is filed under the name uncultured delta proteobacterium. Its description in RNAcentral is "bacterial SSU rRNA". It matches the Rfam family "Bacterial small subunit ribosomal RNA", at positions 1071 to 1533 of the family's 1533-position model. The record is from RNAcentral. Lineage: Bacteria; Deltaproteobacteria.
GAGAUGUGGGUUAGUCCGCACGAGCGCACCCUAUCCUUAGUUGCCAGCACAUUAUGGUGGGGACUCUAAGGAGACUGCCUGGGAUAACUAGGAGGAAGGUGGGGAUGAUGUCAAGUCAGUAUGUCCCUUAUGCUCAGGGCCACACACGUGUUACAAUGGUUGGUACAGAGGGUCGCGAAGCCGCAAGGUGGAGCCAAUCCCCCAAAACCAACCCCAGUUCGGAUUGGAGUCUGCAACUCGACUCCAUGAAGCAGGAAUCGCUAGUAAUCGUGGAUCAGAACGCCACGGUGAAUACGUUCCCGGGUCUUGUACACACCGCCCGUCACGCCAUGGAAGUCAGUAGUACCCGAAUCGAGUGGCUCAACCUUCGGGAGGGAGCUCGUUAAGGUAAGAUUGGUAACUGGGGCGAAGUCGUAACAAGGUAGCCGUAGGGGAACCUGCGGCUGGAUUACCUCCUUUC